UACUGCUGGUUUUGUUUGCCAUUAGACCUCUUGAUUACCUUGGUGCACACAGAUAUAAUCUGUUUAGAUAUAAUCUGUUUAUUUAAAAGGAAACUGAAUCUUGAUUUGGUGGUUAGUGAACAGUUGAACACUCAACAUGAAUGUUUAUGCAUAAAAAGUAUUAUGUCCUUUGUAGAUUCUUAUGGUUAGCCAGAGGCUAUAAUUAGAAGAUGAUGUCUUUGGGAAGGUAGGUAGGGCUGUUCAGCCCCAAACAAUUGUUGAUCAGCUAUACUGAUCCCUUUUUCAUGUUGCAAAACCUUUUAUCCUAUGCCUUCUUUUGCUCAAUUGGCCUAACAACCAAGGGAUAAAUAGAAAUUGCCACAGGAUCUUCUUACAACGAUGGAAAGUUCAUUUGUAAUAAUCAUUUUACUACCUCAAUAGGAAAAACAAAACAUAGAGCGAGCUUUUAUAGCCUGAGGCUGUGUUUAGUUCAGCGCAAAGUUUGGAUUUUGGUUGAAAUUGGAGAUGAUGUGACUGAAAAGUUGUGUGUGUAUGACAGGUUGAUGUGAUGGAAAAGGACUGAAGUUUGGAUCCAAACUUUGGAUCUAAACACAGCCUAAAUGUGAAACUAAUUCUGUGAGUAGAUGAGGUUCUGUGAUAAUUUUCUUGAGCAUAAGUGCACGUUUUGAUGUUCUCUAUCUGCAUUUUCUUGUAUGCUUUCCCCUUUUGUGCAGAUAAAUAACUGGCAAGAUAUUGGAAUGCCUAAGAAUGGUACAAAACUAAGAGCAAGAACUUUCGGUGCCAAUACAACACUGCCAGCCUUUGGUCAUGAAAACAUUAGAGAAUCAACUUAGACAUCACCAUAUCUUACAGGUGGGCUUAAAGUAUAUAAUAAACAAAGUGGAACAAGUCAUGAAUGUCAUGCCUAAUUGUUGUUGUUUUAACCAGGCAACAAACUCAGGAAAUCGAGAUGCACACUUCAAAUGAUCUGAUUUUGAAGCACACAACUGACAAAGUGGACAUGCUACAACAAUUUCUACAACAAGAAGCACCAUUUAUAGAACAAAAUGCAGUACACAUGUAUGUUGAUUGCAGUGCUAGGAGUGCAGUAAAUUUUUUUACAUGGGUGUAUUUUUUGCAAUGAUGGAUGUUAAUAAUUGAGGGAUAUGAUGAGUUAGAUGAUAUAAACAAGGCACAAUGAAUGAAUUGAGGCCAUCCUGAUGUUGGGUUGCACAUGUAUUAUAUUUUAUUGGAUUUCUCCUUUUAUGCACUAUGUACAAUAGUUGGUCAGAGAGGAAAGGCUAGAGCUAGAAGACUUUUUCACUUUCUUUUUUUCCCUCUAAAUAUGGGCUGUUAGACAGAGUUUUACUAACUGAUAGCAAUAACAACACUCCUCUGAAAAUAAGAGAGAUGUGUUCCUCUGUUUGCUAGAUGCUACUGGCCAGCCUAAUGGUAAUUGAUUAAUUCCAUGCAGCACCAUAUUUAUCUUGUA
Non-coding RNA from Oryza sativa Japonica Group (Japanese rice), 1471 nucleotides. The record is from RefSeq and is a predicted model, not a curated record. NCBI's taxonomy places the organism in Eukaryota, Viridiplantae, Streptophyta, Magnoliopsida, Poales, Poaceae.